This 483-nucleotide ribosomal RNA is filed under the name uncultured bacterium. RNAcentral describes it as "partial 16S ribosomal RNA". It matches the Rfam family "Bacterial small subunit ribosomal RNA", at positions 28 to 507 of the family's 1533-position model. The record is from RNAcentral.
GACGAACGCUGGCGGCGUGCUUAACACAUGCAAGUCGAACGCUGAAGCUCAGCUUUUGUUGGGUGGAUGAGUGGCGAACGGGUGAGUAACACGUGAGUAACCUGCCCCCUUCUUUGGGAUAACUCCCGGAAACGGGUGCUAAUACUUGAUAUUCACUGUGCUUCGCUUGGGGGUUGGUGGAAAGGGUGGUUCUGGUGGGGGAUGGGCUCGCUGCCUAUCAGCGUGUUGGUGGGGUGAUGGCCUACCAAGGCUUUGACGGGUAGCCGGCCUGAGAGGGUGACCGGUCACAUUGGGACUGAGAUACGGCCCAGAGUCCUACGCGAGGGAGAAGUGGGGAAGAUUGUGCACUGGGCGCAAGAGUGAUGCAGCGCCGCGGCGUGAGGGAUGGAGGCCUUCGGGUUGUGAAACUCUUUCGCUCAUGGUCAAGCCGAAACAAUGGUUGUGGUGAGGGUAGUGGGUAAAGAAGCGCCGGCUAACUACGUG